Molecule: ribosomal RNA, 405 nt
Filed under: uncultured bacterium
Lineage: Bacteria
Description: partial 16S ribosomal RNA
Rfam family: Bacterial small subunit ribosomal RNA
Source: RNAcentral
GAUGAACGCUGGCUGCGUGCCUAAUACAUGCAAGUCGAGCGAAGCGGGGACGGGUGAGUAACACGUGGAUAACCUCCUAUAAGACUGGGAUAACUUCGGGAAACCGGAGCUAAACCGGAUCCUUAUAGAUGGAUCCGCGCUGCAUUCGCGAUUUGGUAAGGUAACGGCGUACCAAGGCAACGAUGCAUAGCCGACCUGAGAGGGUGAGCGGGCACACGGGAACUGAGACACGGUCCAGACUCCUACGGGAGGCAGCAGUAGGGAAUCUGCCGCAAGGGGCGAAAGCCUGACGGAGCAAAGCCGCGUGAGUGAUGAAGGUCUGCGGAUCGUAAAACUAUGUUAUUAGGGAAUCGGUACCUAAUCAGAAAGCCACGGCUAACUACGUGCCAGCAGCCGCGGUAAUAC